RNAcentral lists this ribosomal RNA (494 nucleotides) under uncultured bacterium. RNAcentral's name for it is "bacterial SSU rRNA". It matches the Rfam family "Bacterial small subunit ribosomal RNA", at positions 16 to 518 of the family's 1533-position model. The record is from RNAcentral.
AUCCUGGCUUAGGAUGAACGCUGGCGGCGUGCUUAACACAUGCAAGUCGAACGAAGCAUUCCUAACCCUCGGGGGAGGGAAUGACUGAGUGGCGGACGGGUGAGUAACGCGUGGGUAACCUGCCUUAUACAGGGGGAUAACAGUUAGAAAUGACUGCUAAUACCGCAUAACCCGCUAGUACCGCAUGGUACAGACGGAAAAGAUUUAUCGGUAUAAGAUGGACCCGCGUCUGAUUAGCUAGUUGGUGAGGUAACGGCCCACCAAGGCGACGAUCAGUAGCCGGCUUGAGAGAGUGAACGGCCACAUUGGGACUGAGACACGGCCCAAACUCCUACGGGAGGCAGCAGUGGGGAAUAUUGCACAAUGGGGGAAACCCUGAAUGCAGCAACGCCGCGUGAAGGAAGAAGUAUUUCGGUAUGUAAACUUCUAUCAGCAGGAAAGAAAAUGACGGUACCUGACUAAGAAGCCCCGGCUAACUACGUGCCAGCAGCAGC